Molecule: ribosomal RNA, 422 nt
Filed under: Dermatobranchus semistriatus
Lineage: Eukaryota; Metazoa; Mollusca; Gastropoda; Nudibranchia; Arminidae
Description: partial 16S ribosomal RNA
Rfam family: Archaeal large subunit ribosomal RNA
Source: RNAcentral
UUAACCUGCCCAAUGUGGAUUGGAAUGAAUGGCCGCGGUACCCUGACCGUGCUAAGGUAGCGUAAUCAGUUGGCUUUUAAAUGGAGUCAGGAAUGAAUGGGAUAACCUGGUCUUACUGUCNCCUUACUAUUUAAUCUAAUUUACUGACCAAGUGAAAAAGCUUGGAAAAAGUAAAGGGAGGAGAAGACCCUUAGAAUUUNACUUACGAUAAGAUAGGNUCUUAUGUUUGUUUUGUUGGGGUGACAAGGAAAUAUAUUUAAACUUUCUUUAUUUUACAAGCCGAGUUUUAUUAAGUAAGAAUAAAUUACCUGAGGGAUAACAGCAUAAUUCUAUAAGUGAGUUUGUGACCUCGAUGUUGGACUAGGAAACUAGCAAGUUAGCCGUUUGUUGUGUUGGUUCUGUUCNNNNNNNNNNCCNCCGUG